This 484-nucleotide ribosomal RNA is filed under the name uncultured bacterium. RNAcentral describes it as "partial 16S ribosomal RNA". It matches the Rfam family "Bacterial small subunit ribosomal RNA", at positions 30 to 507 of the family's 1533-position model. The record is from RNAcentral.
AUUGAACGCUGGCGGCAGGCCUAACACAUGCAAGUCGAGCGGAUGAAGGGAGCUUGCUCCUGGAUUCAGCGGCGGACGGGUGAGUAAUGCCUAGGAAUCUGCCUGGUAGUGGGGGAUAACGUCCGGAAACGGGCGCUAAUACCGCAUACGUCCUGAGGGAGAAAGUGGGGGAUCUUCGGACCUCACGCUAUCAGAUGAGCCUAGGUCGGAUUAGCUAGUUGGUGGGGUAAAGGCCUACCAAGGCGCCGAUCCUUAACUGGUCUGAGAGGAUGAUCAGUCACACUGGAACUGAGACACGGUCCAGACUCCUACGGGAAGCAGCAGUGGGGAAUAUUGGACGAUGGGCGAAAGCCUGAUCCAGCCAUGCCGCGUGUGUGAAGAAGGUCUUCGGAUUGUAAAGCACUUUAAGUUGUGAGGAAGGGCAGUAAGUUAAUACCUUGCUGUUUUGACGUUACCAACAGAAUAAGCACCGGCUAACUUCGUG